This 704-nucleotide ribosomal RNA is filed under the name Ligilactobacillus acidipiscis. RNAcentral's name for it is "bacterial SSU rRNA". It matches the Rfam family "Bacterial small subunit ribosomal RNA", at positions 87 to 777 of the family's 1533-position model. Lineage: Bacteria; Bacillati; Bacillota; Bacilli; Lactobacillales; Lactobacillaceae. The record is from RNAcentral.
AAGUGCGAGUGGCGAACGGGUGAGUAACACGUGGGCAAUCUGCCCAAAAGUGGGGGAUAACACUUGGAAACAGGUGCUAAUACCGCAUCAACCGGCUGACCGCAUGGUCGGCCGGGCAAAGACGGCGUCAGCUGUCGCUUUUGGAUGAGCCCGCGGCGUAUUAACUAGUUGGUAAGGUAACGGCUUACCAAGGUGAUGAUACGUAGCCGAACUGAGAGGUUGAUCGGCCACAUUGGGACUGAGACACGGCCCAAACUCCUACGGGAGGCAGCAGUAGGGAAUCUUCCACAAUGGACGCAAGUCUGAUGGAGCAACGCCGCGUGUAUGAAGAAGGUCUUCGGAUCGUAAAAUACUGUUGUCAGAGAAGAACACGUGAUAGAGUAACUGCUAUGGCGCUGACGGUAUCUGACCAGCAAGUCACGGCUAACUACGUGCCAGCAGCCGCGGUAAUACGUAGGUGGCAAGCGUUGUCCGGAUUUAUUGGGCGUAAAGGGAACGCAGGCGGUCUUUUAAGUCUGAUGUGAAAGCCUUCGGCUUAACCGGAGAAGUGCAUUGGAAACUGGAAGACUUGAGUGCAGAAGAGGAGAGUGGAACUCCAUGUGUAGCGGUGAAAUGCGUAGAUAUAUGGAAGAACACCAGUGGCGAAAGCGGCUCUCUGGUCUGUAACUGACGCUGAGGUUCGAAAGCGUGGGGAGCGAACAGGA